CGCACCUUGCGCCUCUUGGUAUUCCGAGAGGCAUGCCUGUUUGAGUGUCAUGAAACAUCAAUCCCCGAGGGUUUUUUCACUCGGUGGACUUGGACCUGGGCGUCUGCCUCCCAAGGCUCGCCUCAAAUGACUCUGUGGGAACUUCUUGACCUACGCCUGACGUGAUAAGUUUCGUCCUGGCCGGUCCUGAGGCCUGCACAUAACCCCCAAUACCUUUGACAUUGACCUCAAAUCAGGUAGGGCUACCCGCUGAACUUAA
RNAcentral lists this unclassified non-coding RNA (259 nucleotides) under Kockovaella sp. Its description in RNAcentral is "partial contains 5.8S ribosomal RNA, internal transcribed spacer 2, and large subunit ribosomal RNA". The record is from RNAcentral. Lineage: Eukaryota; Fungi; Basidiomycota; Tremellomycetes; Tremellales; Cuniculitremaceae.